UGCAAGUCGAGCGGUAGCACAGAGAGCUUGCUCUCGGGUGACGAGCGGCGGACGGGUGAGUAAUGUCUGGGAAACUGCCUGAUGGAGGGGGAUAACUACUGGAAACGGUAGCUAAUACCGCAUAACGUCGCAAGACCAAAGUGGGGGACCUUCGGGCCUCAUGCCAUCAGAUGUGCCCAGAUGGGAUUAGCUGGUAGGUGGGGUAACGGCUCACCUAGGCGACGAUCCCUAGCUGGUCUGAGAGGAUGACCAGCCACACUGGAACUGAGACACGGUCCAGACUCCUACGGGAGGCAGCAGUGGGGAAUAUUGCACAAUGGGCGCAAGCCUGAUGCAGCCAUGCCGCGUGUGUGAAGAAGGCCUUCGGGUUGUAAAGCACUUUCAGCGGGGAGGAAGGCGAUAAGGUUAAUAACCUCGUCGAUUGACGUUACCCGCAGAAGAAGCACCGGCUAACUCCGUGCCAGCAGCCGCGGUAAUACGGAGGGUGCAAGCGUUAAUCGGAAUUACUGGGCGUAAAGCGCACGCAGGCGGUCUGUCAAGUCGGAUGUGAAAUCCCCGGGCUCAACCUGGGAACUGCAUUCGAAACUGGCAGGCUAGAGUCUUGUAGAGGGGGGUAGAAUUCCAGGUGUAGCGGUGAAAUGCGUAGAGAUCUGGAGGAAUACCGGUGGCGAAGGCGGCCCCCUGGACAAAGACUGACGCUCAGGUGCGAAAGCGUGGGGAGCAAACAGGAUUAGAUACCCUGGUAGUCCACGCUGUAAACGAUGUCGAUUUGGAGGUUGUGCCCUUGAGGCGUGGCUUCCGGAGCUAACGCGUUAAAUCGACCGCCUGGGGAGUACGGCCGCAAGGUUAAAACUCAAAUGAAUUGACGGGGCCCGCACAAGCGGUGGAGCAUGUGGUUUAUUCGAUGCACGCGAAGAACCUUACCUGGUCUUGACAUC
Molecule: ribosomal RNA, 938 nt
Filed under: Klebsiella sp. IPPW-15
Lineage: Bacteria; Pseudomonadati; Pseudomonadota; Gammaproteobacteria; Enterobacterales; Enterobacteriaceae
Description: bacterial SSU rRNA
Rfam family: Bacterial small subunit ribosomal RNA
Source: RNAcentral